CCGUCAGUGGUGGGCUUGGACGCCGUCUCUUCGGCGGCCGGGGUGUCGGCGGACGACACGUCGGCCGGUUCCUUCCCGGCGGACGGC
This 87-nucleotide transfer RNA is filed under the name Streptomyces thermoviolaceus subsp. thermoviolaceus. Its description in RNAcentral is "tRNA-Lys". The record is from RNAcentral. Lineage: Bacteria; Bacillati; Actinomycetota; Actinomycetes; Kitasatosporales; Streptomycetaceae.